GAGAAGACAAAAUCCUCUUUAUUUUGUGCAGAUGUGUCUUUGAAUAUUUGUUGGUUUUUCUUCUUGCAACUUGAGUUGAGAGCGGACAUCUAAGAAGUUUAUACAGUUCUGGAUAAAUUACUAGAAACUGGAUAUUACUGUAUUUAUUUUAUUUUAAACAUAAAAAGUUAGAUUUGCUAUGCACCCCUCAGCAUGAAUGUUCUGGUUUUCUAGUUUUGUGUACACUCCAGGGUCUGGCUUUAUUUGUUAUUUUUUUUAAAGAUUUUAUUUAUUUAGUCAUAGACACAGAGAGACAGAGGCAGAGACACAGGCAGAGGGAGAAGCAGACUCCACACAGGGAGCCUGAUGUGGGACUCGAUCCCGGGUCUCCAGGAUCACACCCCAGGCUGCAGGCGGUGCCAAACCGCUGCGCCACUGGGGCUGCCCCAGAGUCUGGCUUUAGAAGUUCCAGAUGUCUGCUGGUGGGUGGGAUUGCCUGUGUAAUUCUCAUUUCCCUGUGAUUCUGUAUCUCUCAGGUCUCUCUGUCUCUCACUUAUGCACCCUCUCUGUCUCUUGCAGAGAUAAACUUCAAGGAGCCAAUGUCCUUCUGUGUGCCACCAUGACAUCUGAGCUUUGUGGCAGCCUUUCCCCUCAUGGUCCCAAGAUGGUUUUCAACACCUCCUGGGGAUACCACUCUUCAUUUUGGGCCUCACCUGGAAACCACUGAUCUGUUCUUGGUCUUUAUAAUUUUUUGCCUUCCGAAGAUACCUUUUUAAACAACAAGAAAAUGCCGCAGAUAUAACAUGGUAGUAUUUUGAAUUUCCAGAAAAUAGUGAUCAAAAACUACCCUGGAUUCAGGUAAGCUUUAGAAUGAGGUUACAUUAAUCAGUCACUACACUAUCGACAUCCUUUUGAAAAAUGGCAUUAUUUGUGUGUGAGAGGCCUUGCUCUUUUGUUUAUGGGUUAUUCCUGGAACACUUAUUGAACCAUAAUCUCCCUGAAAUAAUUUACAGCCUACAUGCUGGCAACCACGGUGGUUCUGUCAAACUCAGGGAAUCUCACAGGCUUUGAAGAAAGGAAGCACAGACCUAGGCUCUGCCUGCAACCCUGGUGAGCUGGUCCUACAAAGCUGGAGCAGACUUUACAGUCCGGCCUGUGCACUCAGUCCCAGUACAAACAUCAAGGACUGAAGAGAGAGAUUAAAAGGUCCUCACAAGUUUAAUUUUUUUACUUUUCAGAUCAAACAUUCUUCCAUUUUGUAUGGGGAAUAUUAAAAACAAAUGAUAUGUCAAAUUGUUGAGAGAACCAACCUUAGUGGGUGUUCUUUGUGUUUAUCUUAGUGUUAAAAUGGAUGAGAGUUUAUAGAAAAGAAUGUGCUCUGGAUAAAGAACUCAUAUACUUGUCCAAUGAAGGGAUACUGGUGCUGUGAACACAUCCUCCAUGGCUAUGGUGAUGGAUGUAGGGAUAUGGGCCAAGGUCCAGUUGGUACCGGGUGUCUGGCAGGAUGGUAGUGGGCAGCCUUCUCUACACAAUUUGGCUAGCAUUUGUAUUGCUGGAUGCUCUGCUGGCUCAGCAAGGCAGAGAACAUAUUAAAAAAAAAAAGAAAAGAAAGUUUGCAUUUCUAAUAUGUCAUUAGAUCCGACACAGCCUCUCUGAAUAUUUCUGCCUUCAUCACAAUUUCCUAUUCAUGGACUGUCACUCCUGCUCCUCUCAUUCCUUGCCACUCA
This 1706-nucleotide long non-coding RNA is filed under the name Vulpes vulpes (red fox). Its description in RNAcentral is "lncRNA (ENSVVUG00000022441.1)". The record is from RNAcentral. Lineage: Eukaryota; Metazoa; Chordata; Mammalia; Carnivora; Canidae.